AUGGGAUAUCUGUCUUCACUGCUGUGUAAGAGUCCAGUGAUGGGACACCUGUCUUCACUGCUGCGUAAGAGUCCAGUGAUGGGACACCUGUCUUCACUGCUGCGUAAGAGUCCAGUGAUGGGACACCUGUCUUCACUGCUGCGUAAGAGUCCAGUGAUGGGACACCUGUCUUCACUGCUGCGUAAGAGUCCAGUGAUGGGACACCUGUCUUCACUGCUGCGUAAGAGUCCAGUGAUGGAAUAGCUUGCAAUUCACCUGUCUUCACUGCUGCGUAAGAGUCCAGUGAUGGGACACCUGUCUUCACUGCUGCGUAAGAGUCCAGUGAUGGGACACCUGUCUUCGCUGCUGCGUAAGAGUCCAGUGAUGGGACACUUGUCUUCGCUGCUGCGUAAGAGUCCAGUGAUGGGAUACCUGUCUUCACUGCUGCAUAAGAGUCCAGUGACGGAAUAGACUGCAAUACAUUUUCCCAUGAAUCUGUUAAUGGGCUCCUGGGCUGUUUCUGGUUUGGGGGUGUCUGGAAUGAGGCUGGCAUGAGCACGAGUUCUAGCUGAGUGGUAUUUUCAGCAGCUUGGCCAAAAGGUGUGACUUUUCAGGACCUGGCUGAAGGAGGGACUCUAGGGAAAAGGGCUGAUGGGCAGGAAAGCGGUGGCAGAGGGGAUGGCGAAGCCAUAGCUUGCAGGCUGUUGUUCCUAGUGCCCCAAUCAAUAUACCUCAGUUCCCAACUGGGGCCACCUGGAAAGACAGGAAAGGAUGACUCCAUGAGCUCUCAUGGCAUGGAAGACCCAGUUGUGCCCAGUGGAUGCAACCUCCCUCCAUUUCUGGCCAUCCCCUGCUGCUUCCCUCGCACCCCCACCUCCAGCCCCACCCCGCCUUCUCCACCAGGUGCCCUCCGGUGACUUCAGCUCCAUGGACAGCUCCCAGACUGCUGUCCUCCCUGUGGUGCUGAAAUCACCCCAACAGGGAAGCCAAGGCACAGAGAAGCUAAAGAAGAAAAUGGAAUGAAAUGGCACG
RNAcentral lists this long non-coding RNA (1011 nucleotides) under Macaca mulatta (Rhesus monkey). Its description in RNAcentral is "lncRNA (ENSMMUG00000054877.1)". Lineage: Eukaryota; Metazoa; Chordata; Mammalia; Primates; Cercopithecidae. The record is from RNAcentral.